AGUGAACGCUGGCGGUAGGCCUAACACAUGCAAGUCGAACGGCAGCACAGUAAGAGCUUGCUCUUACGGGUGGCGAGUGGCGGACGGGUGAGGAAUACAUCGGAAUCUACUUUUUCGUGGGGGAUAACGUAGGGAAACUUAUGCUAAUACCGAAUACGACCUACGGGUGAAAGCAGGGGAUCUUCGGACCUUGCGCGAUUGAAUGAGCCGAUGUCGGAUUAGCUAGUUGGCGGGGUAAAGGCCCACCAAGGCGACGAUCCGUAGCUGGUCUGAGAGGAUGAUCAGCCACACUGGAACUGAGACACGGUCCAGACUCCUACGGGAGGCAGCAGUGGGGAAUAUUGGACAAUGGGCGCAAGCCUGAUCCAGCCAUACCGCGUGGGUGAAGAAGGCCUUCGGGUUGUAAAGCCCUUUUGUUGGGAAAGAAAAGCAGCAGGUUAAUACCCCGCUGUUCUGACGGUACCCAAAGAAUAAGCACCGGCUAACUUCGUG
Molecule: ribosomal RNA, 492 nt
Filed under: uncultured bacterium
Lineage: Bacteria
Description: partial 16S ribosomal RNA
Rfam family: Bacterial small subunit ribosomal RNA
Source: RNAcentral